GUAAAUACAGAUGAAGCUUUGCUGGCUUGCCCCUCAUUUCCUGCUGUGCGGCCUGGUUUCCAACAGACCAUGGACCAGCGCUGGUCCAUGGCCUGGGAGUUGGGGACCCCUGCUUUAAAGAACACCCAGAUCCAGGGAAAGCUGAAGGGCCUUGAAACACUGACAUCCAGAGAAGAAGAAUAAUAAACAAGAAAGUGGCUGCAAUGCCAGAGUUUCAACAGAUCCUUUGUGGCUCUAGAACUGGAACUCUGUCUCCUUUUCUAAGACAGGAUGUGGGGAAUCUUAUAAAAAGCUUCAUAUUUGUAUUCACAAGUUAAUGUGGGAAAGAAACCAGGAUUUCUGUGUCCUUAAGUGAUACGGAGACUCUGGCUCCAGCAAGACAAGGCUCCGAUCCCAGAUGUCAGUCCCCAGCGAUUCAGGGACACUUCAACAUCCUGACUUCAAAUGAAAAAUCAGGUUGCUUUUCGAGAGUUGUAAAAGACUGGAAACUCCCUGACCACUCGCCAACUCACAGAUGCCAGAAACUCUGCAGCCAUAGCCCUGGCCAGAGAUUUUUCUGGCAGAGUGGGGUCCCCUGACCUCUUUAAGAGGAGCACUGCUUUCUGAGGGCUCAGAAGGCAAUCUGAGGCUCCAGCAUCUUGGCCAGGGGCUGUGAAGAGACAAGUGGAGCACAGGGUGGGGUAUGCAGGGAGCAGGAGGUAUCAUGGGCGGGCCCCUCAGGGAGGGCCGUGGAUUAUUCAAAAGUGCCCUGGCCUGCUGUGCAUUCUGGAGGAUAUUCACCAUCAACCCUGCCAGGAAAGAAGGCCUCACAAAACACCAGGUCUGAAGGAAGGAUCAAGGAAUUUCUUUGACAGAUGUUAAUCAAGAAAACCUGAACACCAAGGGAGGCUAUUGCUUCCUCCUGAAACUAUUUGACUGGCUUGGUCUCUUUGUACUUGGGUGGGACUAACCAUGAGAAAAAGCUCAUCUGUGUGAGUUUCGUGGCUCAAUGUUAUGGGGUACAGACGUGAGCUACUCCUCUAAUGUCCAGGAGCUGUAUCAAUCCCAAGAAAUGACUUGCAAUAUCCUGCAUGUGUGUGUGUGUUUUCAGGGAGGGAUCUGGAACAAUUUUCUGGGGCCUGUAAAUGUAAGCUGAUUCACAAGAUGAAGUGCCCCCUCCCUGCCUCUUCCCCCAUCCCGGAAUUGAGAACGGCUCUAGAUUAUGAGGCAGAGGAGGCUGGAGCAAUGACUUUCCUCCCGGAAUACCCGACAGUACCCUGCCUGGCAAGCCUUGUGUACUGUCUUUAUAGGAGUACUUACUAAACUGAACAUAUAGAAGCAGCCUUCAACUUUUAGGAAUCCACAUACAUUCCUCCCAUCCAGAAGGUUAGCUUGUGAUGAGAGAUUCUUUUGGGGAUCUCAUUAACAGUUUCUUCUGUUUGUGGGAUGGCUCUUCCCAAAGGGGUCUUAAAAUCAGAGAACAGGCCUGGCGCAGUGGCUCAUGCCUAUUAUCCCAGCACUUUGGGAGGCCAAGGUGGGCGGAUCACGAGGUCAGGAGAUUGACCAUCCUGGCUAAUGCAGUGAAACCCCGUCUCUACUAAAAAUACAAAAAGAUUAGCCAGGCGUGGUGGCGGGUGCCUGUAGUCCCAUCUACUCCAGAGGCUGAGGCAGGAGAAUGCCAUGAACCCGGG
RNAcentral lists this long non-coding RNA (1670 nucleotides) under Homo sapiens (human). RNAcentral describes it as "HSALNT0210864". Lineage: Eukaryota; Metazoa; Chordata; Mammalia; Primates; Hominidae. The record is from RNAcentral.